UAUGAAUGGCUGCAUGAGGACCAAACUGUCUCCUUUGACCAAUCAAUGAACCUGAUCCCCCAGUACAAAAGCUGGGAUAAAACCAUAAGACGAGAAGACCCUGUGGAGCUUUAAAUAUAACUACUAACCAACACCACCCCACCAGGCCCACAACACCAAAAUAGUACACAUUUUUAGUUGGGGCGACUACGGAACCAAACAGAACUUCCAUGAUACUGGGACCCCCCCAGCCCCAGGUAAACAAACCGCCACUACUUUGACCCAGUAAUACUGACCAACGAACCAAGUUACCCCAGGGAUAACAGCGCCAUCCUCUUCAAGAGCCCAUAUCGCCAAGAGGGUUUACGACCUCGAUGUUGGAUCAGGACCCCCAGGUGGUGCAACCGCUACCAACGGUUCGUUUGUUCAACGAUUAAUAGUCCUACGUGAU
This 430-nucleotide ribosomal RNA is filed under the name Sphaerodactylus streptophorus. RNAcentral's name for it is "partial 16S ribosomal RNA". It matches the Rfam family "Bacterial large subunit ribosomal RNA", at positions 1991 to 2604 of the family's 2925-position model. Lineage: Eukaryota; Metazoa; Chordata; Lepidosauria; Squamata; Sphaerodactylidae. The record is from RNAcentral.